GGCCUUGCUCUUAUGUCAUUUGACUAAAGGUUUCAUAGACCAAAGAUAACCAUCCAACUUGUUGGAAUACUGAAACAAUUGCUGCCUGCUGUCCACACACCACAUAAAAUAUGUGGAUUUUGUAAAUUCUGCAAAAAAGGUUUGGAAGCUGAUCAAUCAAUACUGGAACUCCCUCUUCUCCAGAAGAGACAUCCUGGCCUCCAAGCAGAGGAAUGUGUGGAUGGACAUAUAUUUAAGGAAGACACUAAACCAGAAACUACUACAUUACACCCUCUUAGAAGACUUCUAAGAUUGUUGUCAUGCCUACCACAGACAUUCAGAUGAUGUGUAUUGUUGAUUGUGAUUUCAUGUUUGGACCUGAUGAAGGAGUUUGAAGUCUCCAGAGCAGCAAAGAGAGUGGGGAGUAGAACUAUUCAUCUUUAGGUCACUCAUCAUCG
This 437-nucleotide long non-coding RNA is filed under the name Mus musculus (house mouse). Its description in RNAcentral is "predicted gene, 30353". The record is from RNAcentral. Lineage: Eukaryota; Metazoa; Chordata; Mammalia; Rodentia; Muridae.